GUCUUACACAUGCAAGUCGAACGAUGAAGCCCAGCUUGCUGGGUGGAAGAGUGGCGAACGGGUGAGUAACACGUGAGCAACCUGCCCUUCACUCUGGGAUAAGCACUGGAAACGGUGUCUAAUACUGGAUAUGCACAAUGGCCGCAUGGUCUGUUGUGGGAAAGAUUUAUCGGUGAAGGAUGGGCUCGCGGCCUAUCAGCUUGUUGGUGAGGUAGUGGCUCACCAAGGCGACGACGGGUAGCCGGCCUGAGAGGGUGACCGGCCACACUGGGACUGAGACACGGCCCAGACUCCUACGGGAGGCAGCAGUGGGGAAUAUUGCACAAUGGGCGCAAGCCUGAUGCAGCAACGCCGCGUGAGGGAUGACGGCCUUCGGGUUGUAAACCUCUUUUAGUAGGGAAGAAGCGAAAGUGACGGUACCUGCAAAAAAAGCACCGGCUAACUACGUGCCAGCAGCCGCGGUAAUACGUAGGGUGCAAGCGUUGUCCGGAAUUAUUGGGCGUAAAGAGCUCGUAGGCGGCUUGUCGCGUCUGCUGUGAAAACCCGAGGCUCAACCUCGGGGCCUGCAUGGGGUACGGGCAGGCUAGAGUGCGGUAGGGGAGAUUGGAAUUCCUGGUGUAGCGGUGGAA
This 629-nucleotide ribosomal RNA is filed under the name Leucobacter sp. Its description in RNAcentral is "bacterial SSU rRNA". It matches the Rfam family "Bacterial small subunit ribosomal RNA", at positions 46 to 686 of the family's 1533-position model. Lineage: Bacteria; Bacillati; Actinomycetota; Actinomycetes; Micrococcales; Microbacteriaceae. The record is from RNAcentral.